This is an RNA transcript of Chelonus insularis, 10946 nucleotides long. RefSeq lists it as uncharacterized. NCBI's taxonomy places the organism in Eukaryota, Metazoa, Arthropoda, Insecta, Hymenoptera, Braconidae. The transcript has 35 exons. The record is from RefSeq and is a predicted model, not a curated record.
CUUUGCAAGUAUAUAGUCGUAUGUCGACAUUAGAUGGAAUUAUAUUAGGAACUAACAAGUUCAUGAAAAUUAAAAUUACGAAAACAAAACGAGUGACUUUAGUGAAGAAAGUGUGUUGUCGAACAAUGACUUUUAGUAAAAAAGUGCUUUGAAAGGUUUCUAUUGCAUAUUUAUUCGAUAUUACUCAAACAUUCAGUCAAAUAAUAGAAAAAUGAUGAACUUUUUAUAAUCCUGUUGUCCGGGUGAUUUUCUUUAGUUUUCUCCGUCAUCGAUAACUUAACUCGUAACGUAAUUUCGUAUCGAAAAUUGAAAAACAUAAAGAGUGUAAUCAUGAGAACAAAAUUAUAAGUGGAAGGAUCUAGACUAAUCAAAGAUAGACAUUAUAGCAACAAAUAUAAAAAACUGGAAAGAUCACUAGAAUAUUUUAAAAACAAAGUGGCUUGUGUUAGAGAAAUAGUUUUUUUCAGCUUAGUAAAUUUCUGAGGGUGGGUAAAAAUAAGAUUCCAGGAUGACGGGUGUCGAAGAAAGGAAAGGUGGUGGCGAGGGUGAAAACAACGAUCUGAGCGCCACUGAUGAUGUACAACAAAAUGGUACUACAGAAAAAGCUCCUGUUGUUACUGGAACAAAUAUGGAAACUCUUCCACGUUCUGGAAAACAGAGUGAUCCAAGUACUGCGUUUCUUCGUGCGGCUCGUGCUGGUCAGCUUGAAAAAGUUUUGGAAUUUCUGGAAUCUGGAGUAGAUAUCAAUGCUUCGAAUGCUAACGGACUAAAUGCUCUUCAUCUAGCGGCAAAAGAUGGCCACUUGGAGAUUGUACGAGAGUUAUUAACGCGAGGUGCAAUUGUAGAUGCAGCUACAAAAAAAGGAAACACUGCUUUACACAUAGCUUCACUUGCUGGUCAGGAGGAAGUAGUACAAUUGCUCGUUCAACGAGGUGCUUCUGUUAACGCACAAUCUCAAAAUGGUUUUACCCCACUCUAUAUGGCGGCACAAGAAAAUCAUGACUCUGUAGUUAGAUUUUUGCUUAGUAAAGAUGCAAAUCAGACUCUUGCAACUGAGGAUGGUUUUACUCCAUUAGCUGUUGCGAUGCAGCAAGGUCAUGAUAAAGUUGUUGCAGUGCUUUUAGAGAAUGAUACCCGAGGCAAAGUACGGCUACCAGCACUUCAUAUUGCAGCAAAAAAAGAUGAUUGCAAAGCUGCAGCUUUAUUACUUCAAAAUGAUCACAAUCCUGAUGUAACUUCAAAAAGUGGUUUUACUCCACUCCAUAUCGCUGCUCAUUACGGAAAUGAUCGAAUUGCAUCUUUGCUUUAUGAUAAAGGAGCUGACGUUAACUUUGCUGCUAAACAUAAUAUCACGCCAAUGCAUGUGGCAGCUAAGUGGGGAAAAAUAAAAAUGGUAAAUUUAUUAAUGAGUAAAGGAGCCAACAUUGCAGCCAAAACGAGAGAUGGUUUGACACCACUUCAUUGUGCAGCACGAGCUGGACAUCAUGAAGUAGUCGAUAUUCUUAUUGAAAAGGGAGCUCCAAUAGGUGCAAAAACAAAAAACGGUUUGGCUCCUCUUCAUAUGGCAUCUCAGGGUGAUCAUGUUGAUGCUGCUCGUAUAUUACUUUAUCACCGAGCACCAGUUGAUGAAGUUACCGUGGAUUAUCUUACUGCUCUUCAUGUAGCAGCUCAUUGUGGACAUGUUCGUGUUGCUAAGCUUUUACUUGAUCGCAAUGCAGAUCCAAAUGCUCGUGCAUUAAACGGUUUUACACCACUUCAUAUAGCUUGUAAGAAAAAUAGAGCCAAGGUUGUUGAGUUACUUUUAAAGAAUAAGGCUAGUAUUGAAGCUACUACAGAGUCAGGUCUUACGCCUCUACAUGUUGCUAGUUUUAUGGGUUGCAUGAAUAUCGUAAUAUAUUUAUUGCAAAAUGAAGCUAGUCCAGAUAUUCCAACUGUUAGAGGUGAAACGCCACUCCAUCUUGCUGCACGUGCGAAUCAAACAGAUAUUAUUCGGAUACUUUUGAGAAAUGGAGCACAGGUCGAUGCUAGAGCUAGAGAAGAACAAACGCCGCUUCAUGUUGCAUCUCGAUUAGGAAAUGUUGAUAUUGUCAUGCUUUUACUUCAACAUGGAGCCAAUGUUAAUGCCACAACGAAAGAUUUAUAUACUCCUCUCCAUAUUGCUGCUAAAGAAGGACAAGAAGAAGUGGCAUCUGUUUUAUUAGAAAAUGGUGCUUCGCUUAAUGCAAUGACUAAAAAAGGCUUUACCCCUUUGCACUUGGCAGCUAAAUACGGAAAUAUGAAUGUUGCGAGACUACUAUUACAAAAAAAUGCACCAGUUGAUGCUCAAGGAAAGAAUGGCGUUACUCCUCUUCACGUAGCAUCACAUUAUGAUCAUCAAAAUGUUGCUUUAUUAUUAUUAGAUAAAGGCGCAUCACCACAUGCCAUGGCUAAAAAUGGUCAUACACCCCUUCAUAUUGCAGCUCGUAAAAAUCAGAUGGAUAUUGCUACAACUUUAUUAGAAUAUGGUGCAAAAGCUAAUGCAGAAUCGAAAGCAGGCUUUACACCACUCCAUUUAAGCGCUCAAGAAGGUCACACUGAUAUGUCUACUUUACUGAUUGAACAUAAAGCUGAUAUAAAUCACAAAGCCAAGAAUGGACUCACGCCGCUUCAUUUAUGCGCACAAGAAGACAAAAUGAAUGUUGCUACAAUACUCGUAAAAAAUGGUGCCCAAGUUGAUGCCAAAACUAAGGCUGGAUACACACCCUUGCACGUGGCGUGUCAUUUUGGUCAAGUUGCAAUGGUUCGUUUUCUAUUGAGAGCUGGAGCUGCUGUUGACACAAGUACAGGAGCUGGCUAUACUCCAUUACAUCAAGCUGCACAACAAGGCCAUUCGCUGGUUAUUAAUUUACUUCUUGAAAGCAAAGCUAAACCUAAUGCAGUAACUAACAAUGGACAAACUGCUUUAGCAAUCGCACAAAAACUUGGAUAUAUCAGCGUCGUUGAAACACUCAAAGUUGUAACAGAAACAGUAAUUAUGACGACACAAACAACGACUAUUGAAGAAAAAUAUCGAGUUCAAGCACCAGAAUCAAUGCAGGAAACGUUUAUGAGUGAUAGUGAAGAUGAAGGUGGUGGUGAUGAAAUCGGCAUUGCAGCCAUGAAUGUGUAUGGACAACCGACUCAUGCGCAACAUGUGUAUCUCCCUUCCUACUACCAGGGCCAAAUGACUUAUACUCGCGAAGAUCCUAUGCUCAGCGAUCAACAACAAUAUCGUUACAUGACUGUUGAUGAUAUGAAGUCAAUGGGAGACGAUUCAAUGAGAGUUAAUGUCACUGAUGAUGAGAGAGACAAUCGACAUUCCGGAGGAACUAUCGUAGCUGAUUUGAUGAAUAAGGAGAGUUAUUAUCGAUCAAAUGCAGCCAAUUUAAAACCAGAUAAUAUUGAUAUUAAUAGGCAUCCAGUUCACGUAGGACCGUCACUAGAGUCCUUAAGUUGGUCGCUGGCAGCCCUUGGUAUCAUACCAAAAGGACAAGGAAUGUGGAGGGACAGCAUUCCAUCUUGGAAAAACUUCUUAGUUUCAUUUCUGGUGGAUGCACGUGGAGGUGCCAUGCGAGGAUGUCGGCAUAGUGGUGUACGCGUUAUUGUGCCACCACGAAAAGCUGCAAUGCCUAUGAGAAUUACUUGUAGAUAUCUUAAGAGGGAUAAAUUGACAAAUCCACCUCCUCUUAUGGAAGGCGAAGCUCUUGCCAGUCGAAUACUUGAACUUGGACCAAUUGGGGCUAAAUUUUUAGGGCCUGUAAUUAUAGAAGUUCCACAUUUUGCCUCUUUACGAGGAAAAGAAAGAGAAAUUGUAAUUCUCAGAUCCGACAAUGGAGAAACUUGGCGGGAACAUACUCUUGAAGCUAGUGAAGAGGCAGUACAGGAUGUCCUCAAUGAAAGUUUUGAAGGCGAAGAAUUAAGUCAACUAGAAGAUCUUCAGACUUCACGAAUUGUAAGGAUCCUCACAGUUGAUUUUCCGCACUAUUUUGCUGUAGUAUCUCGAAUCAGACAAGAAGUUCAUGCUGUUGGGCCUGAGGGUGGAACAGUGUCAUCAUCAGCAGUACCUCAAGUACAAGCUGUGUUUCCACCGGCUGCACUUACUAAGAAAAUUAGAGUUGGCCUACAGGCUCAUCCAAUAUCUGCUGAAUUGGUAGCGAAGCUUUUAGGCAAUAGAGUGGCAGUAUCUCCAAUUGUAACUGUUGAACCACGCCGAAGAAAAUUCCAUAAACCUAUUACAUUAACAAUACCUGUACCUCAAGCUGCAAAUAAAGGCAUGAUUAAUCAGUAUUCUGGGGAUGCGCCAACUCUAAGGCUUCUAUGCAGUAUAACUGGGGGUCAGUCUCGGGCGGUUUGGGAGGAUGUCACUGGAUCAACGCCUCUUACCUUUGUUAAGGAUUGUGUAUCUUUCACUACAACUGUAUCUGCGAGAUUUUGGCUUAUGGACUGUCGAAAUAUUACUGAUGCUACGAGAAUGGCAACUGAGCUCUAUACCCAUGCAACUCAUGUUCCUUUUAUGGCUAAGUUUGUAGUGUUCGCAAAGCGCGUAGAUCCACUCGAAGCUAGACUACGGGUCUUUUGUAUGACUGAUGAUAAAGAAGAUAAAACUCUAGAACAUCAGGAACACUUUACAGAAGUAGCAAAAAGUCGUGAUGUUGAAGUCCUUGAGGGCAAAACUCAGUACAUGGAGUUUGCGGGUAACCUUGUACCAGUUUUGAAGAGUGGUGAACAACUUCAGUUACCUUUCCGAGCAUUUAAGGAAAAUCGUGUACCUUUUACGGCAAGAAUAAAAGAUCCAGAUGCAGCAGAUAUGGUUGGUAGGAUUAUGUUUAUGAAUGAACCGAAAAUAGCUAAGGGCGAACCUCCACAAACACCAAUAUGUACCCUUAAUAUCUUGCUACCAGACAAAAUUUCUCCAGAAAUCGGUCAUUCUGAACUUGAUUUACUUGAGUUAUCAAAAAAUUAUAGUUUCUUACGCGAUGGUGGUUUGAGUCGACCGGACACUAUUCACAGAGCAACAAUUCGCCUAACAGAUAUUGCUAAUUUACUUGAUAGUGAUUGGGAAAAAUUAGCUGAGGAAUUAAAUAUAUCUCCUAACGAUGUGGAACUAAUUAAACGAGAGCAUGUCGGUAAACCUGCUCUUCAAGCUGCUACCAUGUUCAAACUUUGGCAGAAUCAUGGAAAUAAAGCUACAGGAAAUACCCUUGAGAAAGCAUUAAAUAAAAUUGGUAGAGAGGAUAUUGUGAAAAAGUGCAUUUUUAAUGUAGAAUUGGUAACUGAUGACGUGGAGAAAGCUGUAGCAAGAGUUCGACUUGAUCAGCCAGGUUUUGACUCGCUAAAAGAUGAAUUGGGAUCUUCAAGAGAUUCCUCAUUGAAACGAGACGAGUCUUUAGUAGGUCGAAAACUAGACUAUGAAGAGCUUGAUCAUAUGAAAGAUUCAGAAUCUAUCGAAAAUUUAACCAGUAUCGAAAAUGUGUUGCCUAAACAUCAGAAAAAGCAGCACAUAACAAUCACCAAUGGCACUGUGUUUAAUAGUACUUCAACCCCAGUAAAAAAUAAAUAUGCUAGUGAGGAGAAAGAUAUUGGUGACGAUAUGGCAGAAUUUCUUGAGCAUAAGUAUCACAUUACUGAGAAAAUGACGAAAAAAACACAAGACGAAAUUAACGAUGACAAUAGAAAUCGACAAAAAGUAAUUGAAGAUGCCAACCGAUUAGUUACUGGUAUUUUACAAGAUGCUGAAAAAGAGAAGAAAUGUAUGAUGGAGGGUGUGGGGGUUUCGCGCAGUGGGGGUAAAGAGGCAGGAGGUGCUAUAGAUGUUCUCGAUAAUAAUGUUUCUAUUUCAUUAGCUCAAAGUAUUAGAAACACAGUUAAUAAAGACUCUUUAAUUGUCAAAGAAAAUUUCAUGAAGCCUAGUUUUCUCGAAGAUUCUCAAAUUAUAAAUAACUCCAAAAUUACAUCAAUACCUGAAGCAAUAUCUACUCAAACUUAUAUUGGUCCCGAUAAAACGAGUACAACAUACAAAGAAAAUGAAGAAAUUACUAAGAAACCUACUACUGCAAAAGAAAUGUUAGAUAUAUAUUCUAACAGUAAUAGAGACAUUGACAACUCUCAAGAAAAUAUUAUAGAAGCCGGAAACCGUCAUGAAACACCUAUAAACAUAAACGUUGAUGACUACAAUGAUAAUCAAACAAAAAAAAAAGAAAAGCGCAAAAUAUUACCAGAAAUUUUUAAAAGAUCGAAAUUAAGAGAAGAAAAGACUACAGAUUCUCAAGAAACAUCUGCGGAAGGUGAAAAUGGAGAGUUCAGAAAAAACACGGAAUUUAUCAAAGACACCACAAAAAAUGUCAAACAUAUCAAAGAACUAUCUGCAGAUUUGGCGUUUAAUGCUACAAAUGAUAUAAUGAAUGACAACAAAAAAUUGAUAGCGAGCAGUCGACACCGUCAGUUAGUAUGGUCAACUGCUGACUUCUUGUACGACGCAAAAAAAAGUGCAGAAAAAUUCAUUUCUGACGCAAAUAUAGAAAACAAUCAUACCGAUGGAAUAGAGAAAAAUAGAAAACAACCGGAGGAUGACCAAAAAACACAGCUAAAUGCAGAAAUUCAUACAACAGAUCAAAAAUCAAAAUAUGAAACACUUUCGAAAAAGUCAGAGAGUUCGAAAAAAAAUGAUUCCAAAAGAACGAAAACCAAAUUACCUACAGAACCUCAGCAUUCCAAUGAAGAUAGAGAAAGAUUGGCCUCAGAACUAAACAUUGCUCGUGUACAAUGUAAACAAAGUGAUAUUACACGUAAAACAGAGAUAAAAUUAAUAAAGAAGAAAGAAUCCUCCACAAAGAAAAUAAAUAAAGACAACGAUAGAAAAUAUGACACAUUAACGAAAGAAAAGACAGAAACACCAACAUUAUUUUUCGGAAUUUUUAAAAGUUCAAAAACGGAAAAAGAAAACAGUAGUAGUUCACGAGACGAAAGAUCGUUGAGAAUAGAAUAUGACGAAAAAGAAAACAAAAAGGUUACAUUAACUGACAAGGAAGGUGAUAACAACGAGACAGAUCGUAAGAAUAAAGAAAAUAAUGUUGCCCACAUAAAAGUAUCUGAGAUAAUGAACACAAUAGAUAUAGUAAAACCAGAAGUUACUGAGGAAUUAAAAUUAACAUCUGACGAAGUAAAUUCUUCUAGAAGUACGGUAGAGCGUGAAAUCGAUGAUUCUCUGGAAUCUAUUAAAAAUAAAACAUCGAAAGAAGCUAAAAAAGCUAAAGAUAAAAGUAAAGGAUUUUUUUCGGGAAUUUUCAAGGGUGUAAAACAUGCAGCUGAUGAAGUUGUUGACGAUGUAAAAGAGUUUGUUGAUGAGACCAAAAAAGAAGCUGGGGAUAAAGGAAGUCAUCGUAAAGAAAAAACAGCCGUCGACGAUGGUACCGGCAUUGACGACCAUGUAAAGGUGAUGCAAGAAUACGCUAUUCAUGCGACUGGUAAAGAAAACCAAAAUCUAUUGAAUGAAGUGAUGGAUUCUUCACAAAAAGCUGUUGAUAAAGUUAUUCAAAAAGCUGCUGAUAGUGCAGGUACUUUAGCUAAAGUAAUUGAUAAAGCGACGUGUGAUGUUGUUUCUGAAGGAAUUGUUAAAAAAAAUUCUGCAAAAGAUGAAGUAAUUGAAAAAAUCGAGAACGACAUUGGUGUGGCGGAGACUGAACUUUCAGAAGAAGCUCAUCAGCUGGAGAUUGAUGCAGAAGGCUCGAAAAGAUCGCUCGAAAGUAGCGUUAACCGUGUAGUCGAUGGUGUCUAUAAACCAGUAUCUGAGACAAUGAACACAAUAGAUAUAGUAAAACCAGAAGUUACUGAGGAAUUAAAAUUAACAUCUGACGAAGUAAAUUCUUCUAGAAGUACGGUAGAGCGUGAAAUCGAUGAUUCUCUGGAAUCUAUUAAAAAUAAAACAUCGAAAGAAGCUAAAAAAGCUAAAGAUAAAAGUAAAGGAUUUUUUUCGGGAAUUUUCAAGGGUGUAAAACAUGCAGCUGAUGAAGUUGUUGACGAUGUAAAAGAGUUUGUUGAUGAGACCAAAAAAGAAGCUGGGGAUAAAGGAAGUCAUCGUAAAGAAAAAACAGCCGUCGACGAUGGUACCGGCAUUGACGACCAUGUAAAGGUGAUGCAAGAAUACGCUAUUCAUGCGACUGGUAAAGAAAACCAAAAUCUAUUGAAUGAAGUGAUGGAUUCUUCACAAAAAGCUGUUGAUAAAGUUAUUCAAAAAGCUGCUGAUAGUGCAGGUACUUUAGCUAAAGUAAUUGAUAAAGCGACGUGUGAUGUUGUUUCUGAAGGAAUUGUUAAAAAAAAUUCUGCAAAAGAUGAAGUAAUUGAAAAAAUCGAGAACGACAUUGGUGUGGCGGAGACUGAACUUUCAGAAGAAGCUCAUCAGCUGGAGAUUGAUGCAGAAGGCUCGAAAAGAUCGCUCGAAAGUAGCGUUAACCGUGUAGUCGAUGGUGUCUAUAAACCAGUAUCUGAGACAAUGAACACAAUAGAUAUAGUAAAACCAGAAGUUACUGAGGAAUUAAAAUUAACAUCUGACGAAGUAAAUUCUUCUAGAAGUACGGUAGAGCGUGAAAUCGAUGAUUCUCUGGAAUCUAUUAAAAAUAAAACAUCGAAAGAAGCUAAAAAAGCUAAAGAUAAAAGUAAAGGAUUUUUUUCGGGAAUUUUCAAGGGUGUAAAACAUGCAGCUGAUGAAGUUGUUGACGAUGUAAAAGAGUUUGUUGAUGAGACCAAAAAAGAAGCUGGGGAUAAAGGAAGUCAUCGUAAAGAAAAAACAGCCGUCGACGAUGGUACCGGCAUUGACGACCAUGUAAAGGUGAUGCAAGAAUACGCUAUUCAUGCGACUGGUAAAGAAAACCAAAAUCUAUUGAAUGAAGUGAUGGAUUCUUCACAAAAAGCUGUUGAUAAAGUUAUUCAAAAAGCUGCUGAUAGUGCAGGUACUUUAGCUAAAGUAAUUGAUAAAGCGACGUGUGAUGUUGUUUCUGAAGGAAUUGUUAAAAAAAAUUCUGCAAAAGAUGAAGUAAUUGAAAAAAUCGAGAACGACAUUGGUGUGGCGGAGACUGAACUUUCAGAAGAAGCUCAUCAGCUGGAGAUUGAUGCAGAAGGCUCGAAAAGAUCGCUCGAAAGUAGCGUUAACCGUGUAGUCGAUGGUGUCUAUAAACCAGUAUCUGAGACAAUGAACACAAUAGAUAUAGUAAAACCAGAAGUUACUGAGGAAUUAAAAUUAACAUCUGACGAAGUAAAUUCUUCUAGAAGUACGGUAGAGCGUGAAAUCGAUGAUUCUCUGGAAUCUAUUAAAAAUAAAACAUCGAAAGAAGCUAAAAAAGCUAAAGAUAAAAGUAAAGGAUUUUUUUCGGGAAUUUUCAAGGGUGUAAAACAUGCAGCUGAUGAAGUUGUUGACGAUGUAAAAGAGUUUGUUGAUGAGACCAAAAAAGAAGCUGGGGAUAAAGGAAGUCAUCGUAAAGAAAAAACAGCCGUCGACGAUGGUACCGGCAUUGACGACCAUGUAAAGGUGAUGCAAGAAUACGCUAUUCAUGCGACUGGUAAAGAAAACCAAAAUCUAUUGAAUGAAGUGGUGGAUUCUGUAAAAGAGUUUGUUGAUGAGACCAAGAAGGACGUAGAAGAUCAGUUUGGGUCGUAUUGUUUACACGAUCGUGUUAGUACUGGCCAAUCGCUAAACACAGCCAAUAUAGAAAUAUCUCAUGAGUUAGGGCACCUCGAGCCUCGCGUUGAUCAGUCUGUUUCCACAGUCUUUUCUGAAUCUGUGCGUCUGGCAACGGCAUCUUCGCCAUUCAACCCUGAAGAAUUGGGUGAUUGUAAUAUUGAAGAUGUUACCGAGGAAGCAACUAUACGAGCCCGAAUUAUUGCGAAUCAAGAUUUAGCAGACAUGAAAUCUGAGUCUAAUAAUGAAGUAAAUAAGAAAGAUGAAAUGAACACCCCUAACAUUUUGGACCAAGAUUCUACUGUAAUGACAUCAAAAACAGCUGCAGAGUGUAUUUCAGACGAUACACAAGCAUUUGAUGUUAAUAAAGAGACAGCUACCAUGGCUGAUAGAAUAAUCCCAAUAAAAGAGAAAUUUUUUAGAUCAUAUGAAUUUUCUACAGAGUUGAAAGAUAUUCUUACCGAUACAGAAAAACUUGAGAAUAUAACAGAAUAUAAUAGCCAUGGUUUCAAAACAACACAAACUUUUGCUAACGAAAAUAUUCACAUUUUAAACUUGAAAGAUGAAAGAGUAAAUGAACAAAGUACUUCUGGCGUUAUUUUGAAAGAAACUAUACGAACAAUUAGUACAAAGAGCUCAUGGGAUUCUUCAAGAUCUAAAGAUGAUCAAGAUAAUUGGGAUCAAACUCAGUUUUCGUUAGAUACUCCAAGUUCAGGUGAUCCAGGUUUAACGAAAAAUGGUGGCUCCAGACACGAACUAUCGAGUGAUAGCGAUAGUGAAGGUUCGUCACCACCCAGAAGACAGUCUUUGAGCAAGAGGCGUACACUUGGCAGCUCUAGCGGAUCAGACGUUGCCUUACAUGAGGGUGCAGAACUUUCCCCUUUGGAGGACGACCAAGCAGAAAACCAUAUCGUACAAUCGGCCAAGAAAUGCUAUACAGUAUGGACUGCAUACAAGCCUAAUGGGAAGAAGACUGGUCAUAGUUCAACCAGAUACAUUUGGAUAAGGGUGACAUUUUUGAUGUUGGUUGGUCUAAGUGCAAUUUACCUUGUCUUGGAACCCCGAGUACUUCAACGUGCUCUCUCAAACCAUAACCCAUUAUAUUCUGGAAUCUGACUUUUUGCAACACAGUGAGCCAUCUUUUACUGAAACUACAACCACUGAGGUUGAUCUACUCAUAAAUGACAGAGUAACAAGAACAACAAGAACAAUGACAUCAUCAAUUACAUCUACAGAAGAAGUAGACAAUCCACAUGAG